RNAcentral lists this ribosomal RNA (450 nucleotides) under uncultured bacterium. RNAcentral describes it as "partial 16S ribosomal RNA". It matches the Rfam family "Bacterial small subunit ribosomal RNA", at positions 338 to 795 of the family's 1533-position model. The record is from RNAcentral.
CCUACGGGGGGCUGCAGUAAGGAAUAUUGCUCAAUGGAGGAAACUCUGAACCAGCCAUCCCGCGUGAAGGAUGAAGGGGCUCUGCCUUGUAAACUUCUUUUGUCUGGGGCGAAAAAGCUCGAUUUAUCGAGAACUGACGGUACCAGAAGAAUAAGCACCGGCUAACUCCGUGCCAGCAGCCGCGGUACUACGGCGGGUGCAAGCGUUAUCGGGAAUCACUGGGGCGUAGGGGUGUUUAGAAGGCUGAGGAGAAAGGCUGUGGCUUAACCAUGGAAUUGCCAUUGAUACUGCAGAGCUUGAAUGAGGUUGAGGUUGGCGGAAUGUGACAUGUAGCGGUGAAAUGCUUAGAUAUGUCAUGGAACACCGAUUGCGAAGGCAGCUGACUGGACCUAUAUUGACGCUGAGGCACGAAAGCGUGGGGAGCGAACAGGAUUAGAUACCCCAGUAGUC